RNAcentral lists this ribosomal RNA (252 nucleotides) under uncultured bacterium. RNAcentral's name for it is "partial 16S ribosomal RNA". It matches the Rfam family "Bacterial small subunit ribosomal RNA", at positions 524 to 776 of the family's 1533-position model. The record is from RNAcentral.
UACGGGGGGGCAAGCGUUGUUCGGAAUUACUGGGCGUAAAGGGCGCGUAGGCGGUGUGUCAAGUCAGGCGUGAAAGCCCCGGGCUCAACCUGGGAACCGCGCUUGAGACUGGCACGCUCGAGUUCGGGAGAGGAUGGUGGAAUUCCCAGUGUAGAGGUGAAAUUCGUAGAUAUUGGGAAGAACACCGAUGGCGAAGGCAGCCAUCUGGACCGACACUGACGCUGAGGCGCGAAAGCGUGGGGAGCAAACAGG